Small nucleolar RNA from Malania oleifera, 151 nucleotides. RefSeq annotates it as small nucleolar RNA snoR137. Lineage: Eukaryota; Viridiplantae; Streptophyta; Magnoliopsida; Santalales; Ximeniaceae. The transcript has a single exon. The record is from RefSeq and is a predicted model, not a curated record.
GUUGCUUCUUACUGGUGAACUCUCUUGAAAAAUGUGGGGGAUGUUCAUGUUUCCGAAGCAUAGAUCAAUUGAGAUUAAUAUCUUUGCCAGUUUUAAACAGCGUGGUGUGUUGAAUCUCGUUGCACUCCGCUACCUGUCUCCUGGUAUAUCU